This 492-nucleotide ribosomal RNA is filed under the name uncultured bacterium. RNAcentral describes it as "partial 16S ribosomal RNA". It matches the Rfam family "Bacterial small subunit ribosomal RNA", at positions 30 to 507 of the family's 1533-position model. The record is from RNAcentral.
AUUGAACGCUGGCGGCAUGCUUUUCACAUGCAAGUCGAACGGUAACAGGCCUUCGGGUGCUGACGAGUGGCGAACGGGUGAGUAAUGCAUCGGAACGUACCCAGAGGUGGGGGAUAACGCAGCGAAAGCUGUGCUAAUACCGCAUGUGAUCUGAGGAUGAAAGCGGGGGACCGAGCAGCAAUGUUUGGCCUCGCGCCUUUGGAGCGGCCGAUGUCGGAUUAGCUAGUUGGUGGGGUAAAGGCCUACCAAGGCGACGAUCCGUAGCUGGUCUGAGAGGACGACCAGCCACACUGGGACUGAGACACGGCCCAGACUCCUACGGGAGGCAGCAGUGGGGAAUUUUGGACAAUGGGCGCAAGCCUGAUCCAGCAAUGCCGCGUGCGGGAAGAAGGCCUUCGGGUUGUAAACCGCUUUUGGCAGGAACGAAACGGUGUCCGCUAAUACCGGGCGCUAAUGACGGUACCUGCAGAAUAAGCACCGGCUAACUACGUG